GGAUAUGGUUUAAUGGAAAAACAUCACAUUGUGGUUGUGAAAAUCCGGGUUCGAUUCCCAGUA
Molecule: transfer RNA, 63 nt
Filed under: Bigelowiella longifila
Lineage: Eukaryota; Cercozoa; Chlorarachniophyceae
Rfam family: tRNA
About the family: Transfer RNA (tRNA) molecules are approximately 80 nucleotides in length. Their secondary structure includes four short double-helical elements and three loops (D, anti-codon, and T loops).
Source: RNAcentral